CAUGCAGUCGAGCGGGGAAGUGUAGCUUGCUACAUUACCUAGCGGCGGACGGGUGAGUAAUGCUUAGGAAUCUGCCUAUUAGUGGGGGACAACAUUCCGAAAGGAAUGCUAAUACCGCAUACGUCCUACGGGAGAAAGCAGGGGAUCUUCGGACCUUGCGCUAAUAGAUGAGCCUAAGUCGGAUUAGCUAGUUGGUGGGGUAAAGGCCUACCAAGGCGACGAUCUGUAGCGGGUCUGAGAGGAUGAUCCGCCACACUGGGACUGAGACACGGCCCAGACUCCUACGGGAGGCAGCAGUGGGGAAUAUUGGACAAUGGGCGGAAGCCUGAUCCAGCCAUGCCGCGUGUGUGAAGAAGGCCUUUUGGUUGUAAAGCACUUUAAGCGAGGAGGAGGCUACUCUAGUUAAUACCUAGAGAUAGUGGACGUUACUCGCAGAAUAAGCACCGGCUAACUCUGUGCCAGCAGCCGCGGUAAUACAGAGGGUGCGAGCGUUAAUCGGAUUUACUGGGCGUAAAGCGUGCGUAGGCGGCUGAUUAAGUCGGAUGUGAAAUCCCUGAGCUUAACUUAGGAAUUGCAUUCGAUACUGGUCAGCUAGAGUAUGGGAGAGGAUGGUAGAAUUCCAGGUGUAGCGGUGAAAUGCGUAGAGAUCUGGAGGAAUACCGAUGGCGAAGGCAGCCAUCUGGCCUAAUACUGAGGCUGAGGUACGAAAGCAUGGGGAGCAAACAGGAUUAGAUACCCUGGUAGUCCAUGCCGUAAACGAUGUCUACUAGCCGUUGGGGCCUUUGAGGCUUUAGUGGCGCAGCUAACGCGAUAAGUAGACCGCCUGGGGAGUACGGUCGCAAGACUAAAACUCAAAUGAAUUGACGGGGGCCCGCACAAGCGGUGGAGCAUGUGGUUUAAUUCGAUGCAACGCGAAGAACCUUACCUGGUCUUGACAUAGUAAGAACUUUCCAGAGAUGGAUUGGUGCCUUCGGGAACUUACAUACAGGUGCUGCAUGGC
This 1000-nucleotide ribosomal RNA is filed under the name Acinetobacter sp. Its description in RNAcentral is "bacterial SSU rRNA". It matches the Rfam family "Bacterial small subunit ribosomal RNA", at positions 54 to 1049 of the family's 1533-position model. Lineage: Bacteria; Pseudomonadati; Pseudomonadota; Gammaproteobacteria; Moraxellales; Moraxellaceae. The record is from RNAcentral.